GCCUAACACAUGCAAGUCGAACGAAGUAGCAAUACUUCAGUGGCAGACGGGUGAGUAACAUGUGGGUAUCUGCCCUUUGGCCUGGAAUAACACGAGGAAACUUGUGCUAAUACCGGAUAAGUCUUUACGGAGAAAGCUUUAUGCACCAUUGGAUGAGCCCGCACUUGAUUAGUUAGUUGGUAGGGUAAUGGCCUACCAAGACUGUGAUCAAUAGCUGAUUUGAGAGGAUGAUCAGCCACAUUGGGACUGAGACACGGCCCAAACUCCUACGGGAGGCAGCAGUGGGGAAUCUUGCACAAUGGAGGAAACUCUGAUGCAGCGAUGCCGCGUGAGUGAAGAAGGCCCUUGGGUUGUAAAGCUCUUUCGUCGGGGAAGAAAAUGACUGUACCCGAAUAAGAAGGUCCGGCUAACUUCGUGCCAGCAGCCGCGGUAAUACGAAGGGACCUAGCGUAGUUCGGAAUUACUGGGCUUAAAGAGUUCGUAGGUGGUUGAAAAAGUUGGUGGUGAAAUCCCAGAGCUUAACUCUGGAACUGCCAUCAAAACUUUUCAGCUAGAGUAUGAUAGAGGAAAGCAGAAUUUCUAGUGUAGAGGUGAAAUUCGUAGAUAUUAGAAAGAAUACCAAUUGCGAAGGCAGCUUUCUGGAUCAUUACUGACACUGAGGAACGAAAGCAUGGGUAGCGAAGAGGAUUAGAUACCCUCGUAGUCCAUGCCGUAAACGAUGUGUGUUAGACGUUGGAAAUUUAUUUUCAGUGUCGCAGCGAAAGCGAUAAACACACCGCCUGGGGAGUACGACCGCAAGGUUA
Molecule: ribosomal RNA, 803 nt
Filed under: uncultured bacterium
Lineage: Bacteria
Description: bacterial SSU rRNA
Rfam family: Bacterial small subunit ribosomal RNA
Source: RNAcentral